GCACGAACCCGCAUCCCACGCAUCGGUAGGCGGACUCUCAACCACUGCGCCACCAGGGAAGCCCGAGAUAUUCUAAUUUUUAAAGGAAUGAGGACAUUGGAAGGCUUAUUCUAAAAUCUCUGUUGAACUAAAUGCUACUCAUCUUGAUCUCCAGGCAGCUCUCACUGAUGUUGAAAAGAAAGACAUUUGCAGAUCUGGAGCUAUGGCUUAUCUUCAAGAUAAAAAGAUGUAAAAAUGAAGAAUUAAACAGUUAACAAAUGACUAGCUCUCUACCCCCAACAGCCCCCUUAAGCAAUCCUGCAGGUAGAUCACGCAGGCAAGAUCACAUCUGAAGAAAGAGUCAGCCAGUCCACCU
Kogia breviceps (pygmy sperm whale) is the source of this 355-nucleotide non-coding RNA. The record is from RefSeq and is a predicted model, not a curated record. NCBI's taxonomy places the organism in Eukaryota, Metazoa, Chordata, Mammalia, Artiodactyla, Physeteridae.